CGCGGGAAUUCGAUUAGAGUGGAAAAACUCCCUUGACGGUACUUAAUGAAUAAGCCCCGGCUAAUUAUGUGCCAGCAGCCGCGGUAAUACAUAAGGGGCGAGCGUUAUCCGGAAUUAUUGGGCGUAAAGGGUGCGUAGGCGGUUUAAUAAGUCUAUAGUUUAAUUUCAGUGCUUAACGCUGUUGUGCUAUAGAAACUGUUUUACUAGAGUGAGAUAGAGGCAAGCGGAAUUCCAUGUGUAGCGGUAAAAUGCGUAAAUAUAUGGAGGAACACCAGAGGCGUAGGCGGCUUGCUGGGUCUUUACUGACGCUGAGGCACGAAAGCGUGGGGAGCAAACAGGAUUAGAUACCCUGGUAGUCCACGCCGUAAACGAUGAGUACUAAGUGUCGGGUAAAACUGGUACUGAAGUUAACACAUUAAGUACUCCGCCUGAGUAGUACGUACGCAAGUAUGAAACUUAAAGGAAUUGACGGGACUCCGCACAAGCGGUGGAUCAUGUUGUUUAAUUCGAAGAUACACGAAAAACCUUACCAGGUCUUGACAUUUUCUUGCGAAGUUAUAGAAAUAUAAUGGAGGUCAUCAGGAAAACAGGUGGUGCAUGGUUGUCGUCAGCUCGUGUCGUGAGAUGUUAGGUUAAGUCCUAAAACGAGCGCAACCCUUGUCGUUAGUUGCCAGCAUGUAACGAUGGGGACUUUAACGAGACUGCCAAUGAAAAAUUGGAGGAAGGUGGGGAUUACGUCAAAUCAUCAUGCCCCUUAUGAUCUGGGCUACAAACGUGAUACAAUGGUUGAUACAAAGAGUAGCUGAAACGCGAGUUCUUAGCCAAUCUCAAAAAGUCAAUCUCAGUUNGGA
Molecule: ribosomal RNA, 851 nt
Filed under: Cassava frogskin disease phytoplasma
Lineage: Bacteria; Bacillati; Mycoplasmatota; Mollicutes; Acholeplasmatales; Acholeplasmataceae
Description: bacterial SSU rRNA
Rfam family: Bacterial small subunit ribosomal RNA
Source: RNAcentral